Coniochaeta sp. PMI_546 is the source of this 103-nucleotide non-coding RNA. The record is from the annotation of a GenBank genome assembly. Lineage: Eukaryota; Fungi; Ascomycota; Sordariomycetes; Coniochaetales; Coniochaetaceae.
GGGGGUGUAGCUCAUCUGGUAGAGCGCGUGCUUAGCAUACAUUCGAUGAUAGUCGAGUACAUGUUCCUGCACGAGGUACUGGGUUCGACUCCCAGCUCCUCCA